RNAcentral lists this transfer RNA (73 nucleotides) under Kineosporiaceae bacterium. RNAcentral's name for it is "tRNA-Asn". It matches the Rfam family "tRNA". Rfam says of the family: Transfer RNA (tRNA) molecules are approximately 80 nucleotides in length. Their secondary structure includes four short double-helical elements and three loops (D, anti-codon, and T loops). RNAcentral also lists the same sequence under 1 other name. The record is from RNAcentral. Lineage: Bacteria; Bacillati; Actinomycetota; Actinomycetes; Kineosporiales; Kineosporiaceae.
UCCCGCAUAGCUCAAUCGGCAGAGCGUCCGGCUGUUAACCGGCAGGUUGAAGGUUCGAGUCCUUCUGCGGGAG